GGGAAACUUUUUUAUUUUUGUGUGAUAUCUGCCGCAUAAUAAAGAGAGUCCAAGGCUAAUUGGACUCUUAUCUCCUACCCAAAUUCAAACUCCUCUUUGCCUAUUUAAAUAUGGUCUUAUGGGAUGGUUUUAAGAGCUGAUAGAGAUCAGGUUUGAUGCCAAAAAUCAGAGGGUUUUGUGCAUGGAAAAUCAAGGGAGAGAG
RNAcentral lists this long non-coding RNA (202 nucleotides) under Elaeis guineensis (African oil palm). RNAcentral's name for it is "long non-coding RNA (EGUI_LNC062045)". The record is from RNAcentral. Lineage: Eukaryota; Viridiplantae; Streptophyta; Magnoliopsida; Arecales; Arecaceae.